Molecule: long non-coding RNA, 1064 nt
Organism: Otolemur garnettii (small-eared galago)
Lineage: Eukaryota; Metazoa; Chordata; Mammalia; Primates; Galagidae
Exons: 2
Source: RefSeq, a predicted model, not a curated record
CUAAGUAAAUGAUUACCAAGGGCAGUUUCAUUACAACCUGGCACUACAGAGGAAACACCAUUAGGGAACAAGUUCACUUUUUCUAGAGUCUGAUGCUAAGAUGGAAGGAUUUGGCUUUAAUUUCAUUUGCAUAUCUGGCCUACUACAUUUAAUAAAUGUCCAUGAUGUGGCAUUUCUCAGGUCUCCUGGCUCCUAAUUUACUCCUCUUUACAGCACGCUAAGAGAGAAUCAUCCAACUCUCUCGAGUUCAAAAGUUUUACCUCAUUCAAAGCUCUUUUGGGCACUAUGGAACUAAGAAUCUAAUGCUUAGAACUGGGUUGGUUGGGACUGCUGCUCUUCCUUAUAUGAGAGAAAUUGGGUUGGGACUUGCCUUAAUGGGAUUCUUUUGUUUGCAGAUUGGCUCUACCAGUGCACCUGGACAGGGAGGAAUCCUGGCUCAGCGAGAAUUUGAUAGACGAUUCUCCCCCCACUUUCUGGACUGGGCAGCUUUUGGGGUCAUGACACUUCCAUCCAUCGGCAUCCCCCUGCUCUUAUGGUACUCCAGCAAGAGGAAGUAUGACACUCCCAAAGUGAGGAAGAGCUGAGUGGGUGCUCCAUGGCCUCCUCUCCCAUGAAAUCCAGGUGCUUUCCAGACUCCAAAGGAUAUCUCAGAUGCAGUCUCUUCUCCCUUAGCCCUUGGCCACCUUCUCCUGGAUCCUGACCUGCUCUCAGCCAGAGUGAAAGACCAGGCCUUGAAGUCCACAAGAGCCUCCUUGAUUACAGCAUGAAGCCAUACAAACAGGAACAUCUUUGGCAACAGCCCUUGAACCUAGAGGCCCUCUGGUGCCCCAAUGAGCUGCUGCUGUUAUAUUGCUGGCAAUGAGAAUUCUCUCAGGGGUCCAGAGCACGGUGUGGGGGCACUUCAGAGAUUGCCUGACACCACCCCAUCCCUUACCUUCCCCUCUCAAAGAGGGAAGAAGAUGAAAUGAAAGCUAUGGGACUCUCGGAGGCUACCCAGUCUCUGUUCUGGGUUGGGGAGGUACUUACUCAAUGGGAUUUUCUAAUAAAAACAAAUGCCACACAAA